UGGGGAAUAUUGCACAAUGGGCGCAAGCCUGAUGCAGCCAUGCCGCGUGUGUGAAGAAGGCCUUCGGGUUGUAAAGCACUUUCAGCGGGGAGGAAGGCGUUAAGGUUAAUAACCUUGGCGAUUGACGUUACCCGCAGAAGAAGCACCGGCUAACUCCGUGCCAGCAGCCGCGGUAAUACGGAGGGUGCAAGCGUUAAUCGGAAUUACUGGGCGUAAAGCGCACGCAGGCGGUCUGUCAAGUCGGAUGUGAAAUCCCCGGGCUCAACCUGGGAACUGCAUUUGAAACUGGCAGGCUAGAGACUUGUAGAGGGGGGUAGAAUUCCAGGUGUAGCGGUGAAAUGCGUAGAGAUCUGGGGGAAUACCGGUGGCGAAGGCGGCCCCCUGGACAAAGACUGACGCUCAGGUGCGAAAGCGUGGGGAGCAAACAGG
This 429-nucleotide ribosomal RNA is filed under the name Chloroflexota bacterium. Its description in RNAcentral is "Chloroflexi bacterium partial 16S ribosomal RNA". It matches the Rfam family "Bacterial small subunit ribosomal RNA", at positions 355 to 776 of the family's 1533-position model. The record is from RNAcentral. Lineage: Bacteria; Bacillati; Chloroflexota.